UCUUUUUCUUGCUGCUAUGCGAAGGAGGUGCUCCCUGGAAUUUUCUAUCAGUGAGUGGUGGCAUACUGUUGCAAGUUGUAUACUCGGAUAGUUUUCUGGCUGUUACAUUUGUUAGCAAUGACUCGUGGAAACCAGCGUGAACUGGCACGACAGAAGAAUAUUAAGAAAAAUCAAGAAAACCUUAAAGGCAAAAGGAAAGAUGAUAAUUUAUCUCCAGCACAAAGAAAGCAACGGUGAGGAGUGAACAGUAAGCUGAUUAAAGACUGAAAAGAGAUGCUGAAAUAAUGCAAUUGAAGCAAAAAGCAGCAAAUGAGAAAAAGAAUACAUCCACUGGAAACAAGCUGUGAUCACCAACAAGGAAUGCCACGUCAAAUGCCUAAUGGUUUUUCAGAGUUAUGUAUAUAUAGUAGAAAUCAAGAAAAUUCAGCUGAAGUUUUGACAAGUGUGUCACUUUAUGUUGGCAAUUGAGAAUAUUUAUGUUUUCUGUUAUACAGCUGUCGUCACAGUUUCUGCAACAUAGUACAGAAAAGAAAUUGACUACAUGCAAAUGCCAGAUCUUAAAUCUCCAAAUAGAAUUGUUUUUUUAUUAUUAUUAUUACAGUCCCUGACAAAAGUCUUGUUGCUUGUGUACAAAUUGACCUGAAG
Long non-coding RNA from Polypterus senegalus (gray bichir), 645 nucleotides. RefSeq lists it as uncharacterized. The record is from RefSeq and is a predicted model, not a curated record. Lineage: Eukaryota; Metazoa; Chordata; Cladistia; Polypteriformes; Polypteridae. The transcript is spliced from 4 exons.